Molecule: ribosomal RNA, 864 nt
Filed under: uncultured archaeon
Lineage: Archaea
Description: SSU rRNA
Rfam family: Archaeal small subunit ribosomal RNA
Source: RNAcentral
AACCAGCACCUCAAGUGGUCAGGAUGAUUAUUGGGCCUAAAGCAUCCGUAGCCGGCUUUGUAAGUUUUCGGUUAAAUCCAUGCGCUCAACGUAUGGGCUGCCGGGAAUACUGCAAAGCUAGGGAGUGGGAGAGGUAGACGGUACUCGGUAGGAAGGGGUAAAAUCCUUUGAUCUAUUGAUGACCACCUGUGGCGAAGGCGGUCUACCAGAACACGUCCGACGGUGAGGGAUGAAAGCUGGGGGAGCAAACCGGAUUAGAUACCCGGGUAGUCCCAGCUGUAAACUAUGCAAACUCAGUGAUGCAUUGGCUUGAUGCCAAUGCAGUGCUGCAGGGAAGCCGUUAAGUUUGCCGCCUGGGAAGUACGUACGCAAGUAUGAAACUUAAAGGAAUUGGCGGGGGAGCACCACAAGGGGUGAAGCCCGCGGUUCAAUUGGAGUCAACGCCAGAAAUCUUACCCGGAGAGACAGCAGAAUGAAGGUCAAGCUGAAGACUUUACCAGACAAGCUGAGAGGUGGUGCAUGGCCGUCGCCAGCUCGUGCCGUGAGAUGUCCUGUUAAGUCAGGUAACGAGCGAGAUCCCUGCCUCUAGUUGCCACCACUACUCUCAGGAGUAGUGGGGCGAAUUAGCGGGACCGCCGUAGUUAAUACGGAGGAAGGAAGGGGCCACGGCAGGUCAGUAUGCCCCGAAACUCUGGGGCCACACGCGGGCUGCAAUGGUAACGACAAUGUGUUCCGAAUCCGAAAGGAGGAGGUAAUCCUCAAACGUUACCACAGUUAUGACUGAGGGCUGCAACUCGCCCUCACGAAUAUGGAAUCCCUAGUAACUGCGUGUCACUAUCGCGCGGUGAAUACGUCCCUGCUCCU